Molecule: small nuclear RNA, 139 nt
Organism: Mirounga angustirostris (Northern elephant seal)
Lineage: Eukaryota; Metazoa; Chordata; Mammalia; Carnivora; Phocidae
Product: U4 spliceosomal RNA
Exons: 1
Source: RefSeq, a predicted model, not a curated record
AGCUUUGCGCAGUGGCAGUAUCGUAGCCAAUGAGGUUUAUCCGAGGCGCGAUUAUUGCUAAUUGAAAACUAUGUGUCAAGUAGUCGUCUAAGCACUUCACAUGCAUUACUCAUUUAAAAUUUGUCACCACAACUCUUUG